GGAUUAGAUACCCUGGUAGUCCACGCUGUAAACGAUGAUCACUAUAUAUUGGCGAUAAACUGUCAGUGUUAAAGCGAAAGUGUUAAGUGAUCCACCUGGGGAGUACGAUCGCAAGGUUGAAACUCAAAGGAAUUGACGGGGGCCCGCACAAGCGGUGGAGCAUGUGGUUUAAUUCGAUGAUACGCGAGGAACCUUACCAAGGCUUAAAUGUAUGUUGACAGGACUGGAAACAGUUUUUUCUUCGGACAAUAUACAAGGUGCUGCAUGGCUGUCGUCAGCUCGUGCCG
Molecule: ribosomal RNA, 287 nt
Filed under: uncultured bacterium
Lineage: Bacteria
Description: partial 16S ribosomal RNA
Rfam family: Bacterial small subunit ribosomal RNA
Source: RNAcentral